This 220-nucleotide unclassified non-coding RNA is filed under the name rhizosphere metagenome. RNAcentral's name for it is "partial ribosomal RNA internal transcribed spacer region". The record is from RNAcentral.
GUAGGUGAACCUGCGGAAGGAUCAUUAUUGAAAUAAACCUGAUGGGUUGUUGCUGGUUCUCUAGGGAGCAUGUGCACGCCUUGUCAUCUUUAUAUCUCCACCUGUGCACCUUUUGUAGACCUUCUAGGUCUAUGUUUCUUCAUUUACCCCAAUGUAUGUUAAUAGAAUGUUGUGACUAUAAAAAUAUAUACAACUUUCAGCAACGGAUCUCUUGGCUCUC